This 253-nucleotide ribosomal RNA is filed under the name uncultured bacterium. RNAcentral describes it as "partial 16S ribosomal RNA". It matches the Rfam family "Bacterial small subunit ribosomal RNA", at positions 524 to 776 of the family's 1533-position model. The record is from RNAcentral.
UACGGAGGGGGCUAGCGUUGUUCGGAAUUACUGGGCGUAAAGCGCGCGUAGGCGGUCCUGCAAGUCGGGGGUGAAAGCCCGAGGCUCAACCUCGGAACUGCCUUCGAUACUGCGGGUCUCGAGUCCGGGAGAGGUGAGUGGAAUUCCUAGUGUAGAGGUGAAAUUCGUAGAUAUUAGGAAGAACACCAGUGGCGAAGGCGGCUCUCUGGGACGGUACUGACGCUGAGACGCGAAAGCGUGGGGAGCAAACAGG